GAUGAAGAAGUAGCGAAAUGCGAUAAGUAAUGUGAAUUGCAGAAUUCAGUGAAUCAUCGAAUCUUUGAACGCACAUUGCGCCCAUUAGUAUUCUAGUGGGCAUGCCUGUUCGAGCGUCAUUUCAACCCUUAAGCCUAGCUUAGUAUUGGGAAUCGACUUUACUGUCGUUCCUCAAAUUCAACGGCGGAUUUAUAGCAAUCUCUGAACGUAGUAAUUUUUUUCCUCGUUUUUGAAAUACUAUAAACCUCAGCCGCUAAACCCCCAAUUUUUCUAUGGUUGACCUCGGAUCAGGUAGGAAUACCCGCUGAACUUAAGCAUAUCAAUAAGCGGAGGA
This 334-nucleotide unclassified non-coding RNA is filed under the name soil metagenome. RNAcentral's name for it is "partial contains 5.8S ribosomal RNA, internal transcribed spacer 2, and large subunit ribosomal RNA". The stretch from base 1 to 119 matches the Rfam family "5.8S ribosomal RNA", at positions 35 to 154 of the family's 154-position model. The record is from RNAcentral.